CCCACAUCCAUGUAUGUAGAACUCCAAAGGAUCACCAUUAAAUUUAGUACAGAUCUCUAGAAAAGUUAUCAUAUGGGUAUGGGAUUUGACUUUUUUAGAUAUCUGUGCCAAAUUUAAUGGUGAUCCUCUGGGGUCCUACACACCUGGGUGUGGG
This 154-nucleotide microRNA precursor is filed under the name Amborella trichopoda. Its description in RNAcentral is "MIR8565 microRNA precursor family". It matches the Rfam family "MIR8565 microRNA precursor family". Lineage: Eukaryota; Viridiplantae; Streptophyta; Magnoliopsida; Amborellales; Amborellaceae. The record is from Rfam by way of RNAcentral.